Molecule: ribosomal RNA, 274 nt
Filed under: uncultured bacterium
Lineage: Bacteria
Description: partial 16S ribosomal RNA
Rfam family: Bacterial small subunit ribosomal RNA
Source: RNAcentral
AUACGGAGGGAGCAAGCGUUACUCGGAAUCACUGGGCGUAAAGCGCGCGCAGGCGGUCUUUUAAGUUGGAUGUGAAAGCCUACGGCUCAACCGUAGAACUGCAUCCAAAACUAUUAGACUAGAGUGUGGGAGAGGAAGAUGGAAUUAGUUGUGUAGGAGUAAAAUCCGUAGAGAUAACUAGGAAUACCAAAAGCGAAGGAAAUCUUCUGGAACACUACUGACGCUGAGGCGCGAAAGCGUGGGGAGCAAACAGGAUUAGAAACCCGUGUAGUCC